RNAcentral lists this unclassified non-coding RNA (345 nucleotides) under soil metagenome. RNAcentral's name for it is "partial contains 5.8S ribosomal RNA, internal transcribed spacer 2, and large subunit ribosomal RNA". The stretch from base 1 to 120 matches the Rfam family "5.8S ribosomal RNA", at positions 35 to 154 of the family's 154-position model. The record is from RNAcentral.
GAUGAAGAACGCAGCAAAAUGCGAUAAGUAAUGUGAAUUGCAGAAUUCAGUGAAUCAUCGAGUCUUUGAACGCACAUUGCGCCCACUGGUAUUCCGGGGGGCAUGCCUGUCCGAGCGUCAUUGCUGCCCUCAAGCACGGCUUGUGUGUUGGGCCUCCGUCCUCCUCCCGGGGGACGGGCCCGAAAGGCAGCGGCGGCACCGCGUCCGGUCCUCGAGCGUAUGGGGCUUCGUCACCCGCUCUUGUAGGCCCGGCCGGCGCUUGCCGACACAUCAAUCUUUUUUCCAGGUUGACCUCGGAUCAGGUAGGGAUACCCGCUGAACUUAAGCAUAUCAAUAAGCGGAGGA